UACGUAGGGUGCGAGCGUUAAUCGGAAUUACUGGGCGUAAAGCGUGCGCAGGCGGUUUUGUAAGUCAGAUGUGAAAUCCCCGGGCUUAACCUGGGAACUGCGUUUGAAACUACAAGGCUAGAGUGUGGCAGAGGGGGGUGGAAUUCCACGUGUAGCAGUGAAAUGCGUAGAGAUGUGGAGGAACACCGAUGGCGAAGGCAGCUCGCUGGGACGGUACUGACGCUGAGGCGCGAAAGCGUGGGGAGCAAACAGG
Molecule: ribosomal RNA, 253 nt
Filed under: uncultured bacterium
Lineage: Bacteria
Description: partial 16S ribosomal RNA
Rfam family: Bacterial small subunit ribosomal RNA
Source: RNAcentral